RNAcentral lists this ribosomal RNA (587 nucleotides) under uncultured bacterium. RNAcentral's name for it is "bacterial SSU rRNA". It matches the Rfam family "Bacterial small subunit ribosomal RNA", at positions 338 to 916 of the family's 1533-position model. The record is from RNAcentral.
CCUACGGGAGGCAGCAGUGGGGAAUUUUGGACAAUGGGCGCAAGCCUGAUCCAGCCAUGCCGCGUGCGGGAAGAAGGCCUUCGGGUUGUAAACCGCUUUUGUCAGGGAAGAAAAGGUUCUGGCUAAUACCUGGGACUCAUGACGGUACCUGAAGAAUAAGCACCGGCUAACUACGUGCCAGCAGCCGCGGUAAUACGUAGGGUGCAAGCGUUAAUCGGAAUUACUGGGCGUAAAGCGUGCGCAGGCGGUUAUGCAAGACAGAGGUGAAAUCCCCGGGCUCAACCUGGGAACUGCCUUUGUGACUGCAUAGCUAGAGUACGGUAGAGGGGGAUGGAAUUCCGCGUGUAGCAGUGAAAUGCGUAGAUAUGCGGAGGAACACCGAUGGCGAAGGCAAUCCCCUGGACCUGUACUGACGCUCAUGCACGAAAGCGUGGGGAGCAAACAGGAUUAGAUACCCUGGUAGUCCACGCCCUAAACGAUGUCAACUGGUUGUUGGGAGGGUUUCUUCUCAGUAACGUAGCUAACGCGUGAAGUUGACCGCCUGGGGAGUACGGCCGCAAGGUUGAAACUUCAAAUUGAAUUGACGG